This 27-nucleotide unclassified non-coding RNA is filed under the name Mus musculus (house mouse). RNAcentral's name for it is "oocyte_clustered_small_RNA12819". Lineage: Eukaryota; Metazoa; Chordata; Mammalia; Rodentia; Muridae. The record is from RNAcentral.
UAUUCCCCUAUUAUCUUUGACGUAGUC